This 7361-nucleotide long non-coding RNA is filed under the name Marmota monax (woodchuck). The record is from RNAcentral. Lineage: Eukaryota; Metazoa; Chordata; Mammalia; Rodentia; Sciuridae.
GUUAGCUCAGAAUCUCUGCAAUCACUUUACAUGUAGUUUCCACAUAAAGAUCUUAUCUUUUCUCAAUUUUGCAUGAGGACAGGAAAUCCUAGCCCCACCCAUAACUCAAAGGAGAUCAGAGUGUCAUGGCAACACCUCCCACUCUGUGGCAGACAAGAGUUAAAGGAGAAAAUGCAAAAGAGAAAACUCUGCUUCAGAAACAUUACAAAUUCGAACUAUGGGGAGUGUUGGGAAAACAUAUAACGGCAGCAGCACCCCAGAGAAAAACCCCAACAUGGUGCCUAACGAUCCUCAUUCUCCUCUUUUUUACUUUCACUGGUGCGAAACGUUCCCACCGGCACCAAUGUUCAAAUCCUGCUGGUGGGAAGCCUUAGCCCCAAUAAGAAUUAACUUCUUGGGCUCUGGAACUGACAUAUGGAAGAGCUUGCCAAUAAACGGGCAACCCGUUAUCUACCUCAGCCCUGCUACCUCUCCUUAGACCUAUAUAAACACACAGCCUUUUGUAAUAAAGCAGAACCUCUUCAGUGAUCUGUGUCGUGUGGUGUCUCCCAUUCAUAGUGCGGUGUGGCGUCUUCCAGUCUUAUGGUGGUGCCAAAAACCCGGGAGACGGUGUACUCGACAAACCAAGCCCCGUCUCCGCCAUCGCCAUCACCAACGACACAUUUCGCCCUGUCUGUCUUUUGGGGCGCUGGCUCCCUGCACUCACCACUGAUCGGGUUUAGGUAAGUUCCCCCUCCCCAGCUCACCAACUCCCUUUGGGCUGCCAGCAGGGGACGCGACCGUGAUCGUCCAGCACGCUCCUGACACCCAAUAGGGAGGAGGGAAUGCACCCCACUAAGACCUUCACCGGUCGCAGUGGACCCUCUGGCGACCCGCUUCCCUUUGGGGUGUGAGGCUUCUGGGUUUACACGAGAGAGGCUCCCUGGUCUCUUCCUCCUCCGCGGAAGCUGCGUCCCACGGGAGCUGCAUCCUGCGGGAGCUGCGUCCCGCUGGAGCCGCACCUCGCUGGAGCUGUGUUCAGCCCGGAGCUGAACUUCCGGCUCAGAGCUGCAUUCUGCUGGGGCUCUGUUCCUUCCUUCCUUGACUCUCUCUCGUUCCGGUGGGAAAAUUUUCCUGACGUCAGGUUGCCCGUGGCCUUGACCUUAUAGGGUCACACAGACUGCAUUUUGUUGGUGAUGACUGAGCUGUGCCCUCUGUGCCUAUUCGCAGUGGACUGGUCACUUCGGGGACGCCCACGUGACCCUCCAUCAGCUCUACGCUUCCAGGAAGCCCCUACGGCCUGGGUUAAUUCUUUUUCUCCCUUUGCUGUCCCUUCCUCCACUCUUUAACCAUGGGUGCCUCCUCGUCUAUACCCGAAAACUCACCACUCAAGUGUCUCCUUAAGAAUUUGGCUACUCUCUCUCUUUCCCCAGAUCUCAAGCCCAAAAUUCUUAUCAGAUUCUGUACCCAAGAUUGGCCCGCAUAUCCGUUAGAUAAUGAGAAUCAUUGGCCUCCAGAAGGCUCGUUAGAUCCAAACCUUCUUCAGGAUCUUCUUAACUACUGCCUGCGCCUAAAAAAAUGGAGAGAAGUCCCAUACAUUGAAGGUUUUAGCCUUCUCGCCCAACACCCUGCCCUCUGCACUUCCUGCUCUCCCUCUCAGGUCCUCCUUGCUUGUAAACCCCUCCCUUCCCCUACUUCUUCCCCUGACUGUGCAGAUUCUUCCUCAUUUGACCCAGCAGAUGAACCUCCACCUUAUCCCCCAGCCCCAUCCGCCCCUCCUCUCCCGCUACACCCUCCGCUUCUUCCGCCUGAUUCCACCGAUCCUCAGCCUUCUGUUUCAUCCCCCUCCCCCCAGCUCUCUUCCGCCGGUUCCAUCUCCUCCUCUGCUGAGACAUCCCCUUCCCCUCCCUCUACUUCCUGUCCGCCGCCAACUGCCUCUUUCAGUCCUCCUGUCACCAGGUCUAAGGGACCCCCUCCUACUCCCGUGACAAUUGCACCGCUUCCUGAGGUAGCUGGUCCUGAGGGUGUUAUUAGAGUACAUGUGCCUUUCUCCAUGUUGGACAUUACUCAGUUAGAGAGGAAGUUAGGCUCAUUCAUCACUUAUCCCACAACUUACAUUCGGGAGUUCCAGUGGGUCCUGCAGGCAUACAGCCUUACCCAUCACGACAUCUACAUGCUCCUGGCCAAUACACUUCUCCCUGAGGAAAGGCAACGGGUCUGGGAGCUAGCCCAAGCCCAUGCUGAUGAAAAUCAUAGGACCAAUCCCAACCACCCCACAGGCUUUCAUGCUGUCCCAGAGCAGGAUCCUCUAUGGGAUUACAAUACCCCUCGAGGCUUACAGUCUCGUGACCUUUUUGCAUCCUGCCUCUUGGCGGGCCUAAAAAAGGUCACCCACAAGGCCGUUAAUUUUCAAAAGGUGCAGGAGGUCAUUCAAAAGAAGGAAGAAACACCUUCAGAAUUCCUGGAUAGACUAACCAAGGCCCUCCAGCAGCACACAAACCUCGACCCAGAAAGCCCUGAUGGCCGUCAUGUCUUAAUGACAUAUUUCCUGGCCAAAAGCUACCCUGACAUUAAAGCCAAGCUUAAGAAGCUUGAACAGGGCCCUGCUACUCCUCAGACUGAAAUCCUCGCGGUCGCUUUCAAGGUGUUCCAUAGUAGAGAGGAUGAAAGCGAACGUCGUAGGCAGAGGGCUGAAAAUGCCAAAUUCCAAAUGUUGACCCAGGUCAUUCAGAGAAAGUCAUCACCAUGCCGUCCUAAUAAGACACCCCCUGGAGCUUGCCUCAAAUGUGGUAAGGAGGGACAUUGGGCCAGGGAUUGUCCUUCGCCGAGGAUAUCCUCCACCCCCUGCCCAAAAUGCCACCAAAGGGGACACUGGGGAGUAGACUGCCCAACAACCUGGAGGGGAGGUUGGUCAGCCACCCCACAACCCCAGCCUCUCCUGGGUUUGGCAGAGGAGGAUUGACAGAGCCCUGGGCCUCUCUCCCGACUAUUACCAUCAAGAAGCAAGAGCCUAGGGUCACAUUUCUAGUGGAUGGACGCUUCAUUACCUUCCUCUUAAGACACUGGUGCCACAUUUUCGGUCUUGAGGGAGUAUUGGGGUCCUACCACAUCCUCAAAAACUAUUGUCAAGGUAGGAGGUAAACAGAUUUUCCCUUGAAAAACACCCCCCUUAUCAUGUUAUAUGCAGGGAUCCCUUUUGUCCUUCACACACUCCUUUCUCGUUAUGAGCCACUGCCCCAUUCCCCUUCUGGGAAGGGACAUACUCUCAUUAUUGAAGGUCACCAUUCACAUAUCACCCCACACCUCCCCCGCCUCUCAUUUCCUGUGCCUGCCUUCUUGCGCAGGGCAAAUCCCUCACCAUUUAUACUGACUCAAAAUAUGUCUUCCAUAUUCUAUUAUCCCAUGCUGCAAUAUGGAAGGAGCGAGGCCUACUUACCACUAAAGGUAAUGCAAUCACUAAUUCGGCUCUUAUAACCAAUUUGAUAGAGGCCUCCCACUUACCCACCCAGUUGGGAGUUGUCCAUUGUAGGUCCCAUCAGAAGGACGGCUCUCUUAUCAUUGAGGGCAAUGCCAAAGCUGACCAGGCGGCACGAAUGGCUGCUAUCACUUCCAAUUAUGACCCCCCUGGGGGACAUAUAAUGGCCACUUUAGACUGUCCAUCUGAAGCCCCUACUUCUUCCAGUAAGAACAAGGAUCUUUUUGAGUUCCUCCAUACUCUAUUCCAUUCCAAUUCUCAGUCUUUUACCCUCUUUUUUACAGAGCUUCUUCUCCCUCACCCCCUCUGACAAAGCCAUUCUACAGAAUAUAGCCUCUAAUUGUCAGAUCUGUCAGUGGACCAACCCUCAUACUCCUUUAAGGCCUAAACCAUUUCCCUCCCACCAAGCCUGGGGACACAUUCCUGCUGCUGACUGGCAGGUAGACUUCACCAACAUGCCUGCAGUAUGGUGCACUAAAUACCUCCUUGUCUUUGUGGACACUUUCUCUGGUUGGGGAGGCAUUUCCCACUUCCAAAAAAAGGCUUUCACUGUAGCUUAAAUCUUACUGACAGACAUCAUCCCCAGGUUUGGUAUGCCCACUUCCCUACAAUCCGACAAUGGCCCUGAGUUUAUUUCUAGGAUCACACAAAAGGUCUCUCAAGCCCUCUCCUUCAAGUGGCAUUUCCACUGUCCAUAUAGCCCCCAGGCUUCAGGGAAAGUGGAAAGGGUAAAUCGGACUCUGAAGGAAGUCCUUACCAAAUUAACAAUGGAAUUAAACUUAGACUGUGUCAAACUCCUUCCCUUGGCUUUGCUUCGGAUCAGAGCUCUCCCUAAGAAACCAUCUUUACUGUCUCCCUUUGAGAUAAUGUAUGGAAGACCUCUUAUACCCCCUGGGUUGGUCAUUUCACAAGGACCUCUCACACGAGAUUUGUCUUUACCUCUCUUGUUUCAUCUCCGCUCAGAACUCUAGAAAUAUCGAGACUGGCUUCUUCCGGACCCAGACUCCUCUCCAAACACUCUUCCCUUAACACCUGGAAGUUUAGCCUAUUAUAACACCCCAGAGGAGAAAGGGCCUCUUGCCCCAAAAUGGGAAGGCCCAUAUCCUGUCAUUCUCUGUACCCCCACCGCCGCCAAACUUUCCUUACCAGGCAACCGUCUCACCCCCUGGAUUCACAUUUCUAGGUUGAAGCCAUAUUACUAGGAGGCCCCAUCUGCUGACGAAAAGACUACCCCAGAGGAGCCUCAAGAGUCACCUCCUAGACCUCCCCUUUACUCCUGCUCUCCACAUCCUAACUAUCCUCUAAAACUUCGCCUGUCUCGCAUAACCGCCCAUACUCCACCAUGACUCCCACUCUUCUAAGUGGUAUUUUCACAGUCAUCACCCUUCUCCCGGGGACAUCAUCAUCCUCCGCUUAUACUUGGAGAUUCAAAGUCAGAGAGACAUAUGUCCAAGGCAGCACUCGUUACACUCGCCUAGUUUCUUCGGUUGAUUGCGCCCCUAUGGGAUGUAAUGCAUCUAUCUUCCUUCCCCUCUCCUCCCAGAAUUCUGAACUUUUAAAAACAACCACUAGGCCUUACCUUUGCUUCUUAUAUGAUCAGACAGAGGAUUACUGCAAAUGGUGGCCCGAAACCUAUGGGGGGUGCCCCUACUGGUCAUGCAACGUUCAUAACCCACAUGCAUGCAUCGGGGAUUCCUGCGUUGGAAAUUUCAGAUUGAUCUCAAGGGGCUAUCAAUUGGCUAUCACUGACCCUAACCAUCCACGCUGGACCUCUAGGGUAAAUGCUUCCUUCUACUGUGACAUAUCCUCUCCCACCCCCUGUGGCUCCAUCUCCAUCUCCCGAGAGCUUCAACCCUCCCAGCCCUCAGUAGCUAUAAUCUCUACUGACAUAAAGCAUUCUGAACAGCAGUUGUUAGACUCUAUACAGGAUCCAUAUGAGCCUAAUGUCGGGAGUUCACCACAGUAUUCAUGACUACGACUACUUACUGAAACUGUAACCUUCUUAAAUCUAACCCUCCCCGCCAUUACACCAACUGAUUGCUACUUAUCCACCUCUCUGACUCGACCUUUGCUUGCAGCAGUUCCCUUGAACUUCUCAGCUUCUGACCUCUCAAAUUUCUCCACUCCAUCUGCCCACCAUUCUCUCCAAACCCUUUUACCCAACGCUCCAUUAUGGGAGCCUGAGGAAUCUAACCAUACUGUGAUUCCCCGGCGCUGCCUCCUGGGCUUGGGUGUCUCUCAGUCAAAGUUUUGCCACUCUAACAUCACCUUUAACUUCACCCUCUAUGCACCACCUGGCUCAUUCUUCUGGUGUAAUGGUUCUCUCAUCACUAUCGUAUUCACCAACACCUCUACCCCAUGUAUACUGGUGACGCUUGUCCCACUAUUGACUCUCUAUACCCCAGCUGAAGUGCAGGCCCUCUUGUCUCCCCCAGUGAGGAAUAAGCGGUCUGCUUUCCUUCCAAUACUGGUGGGUCUCUCACUGGCUGCAUCUGCGGUGGGAGCAGGAAUUUUUGGUGGAGCUCUAGGACACUCCUUAUGGGCUGUACAGGACUUAAGUUCUAAACUUGAACAAGCGCUCACUUCUACGGCAGAAUCUCUGGCAUCUUUACAAAGGCAGGUCACAUCCUUGGCUCAAGUUACUCUUCAAAAUCAACGAGCUAUAGACUUACUCACAGCCAAAAAAGGUGGAACCUGUCUUUUCUUGAGGGAAGAAUGCUGUUACUACAUCAAUGAAUCAGGCCUUGUGGAAACUAAUGUAGUCAAGCUCACCGACUUGGCUACCUCUUUGAAAAAUCCACCAAACCAAAUCCCAUUUGCCACCUUCUUUUUAGCCCACUUCCAAUCGUGGCUGUUGCCUCUUUUAGGGCCCAUAUGUCUCCUUUUCCUGAUGUGUCUGUUCCUGCCCUGUCUGCUUCACUUCCUACAGGGCCAAUUAUGGAAGAUGUCUAACCAAACUUUCAACCAGCUUCUGCUUUGGUACUAUCUGAUGACCGAUGAACCCCCAACAUCUUAAAGAGAACAGCUCACUCAUUGCUGAAGCUCACUACCAGGCGCGAUGGAAUGCAAUGGACAUCGGACAGUGGGAGACAAUGAGCCCGGAGAACCUCUUAAUCUGCCAUCCUGGAUUCUUGAGCCUUUAUGUCCUUUUAAGCCUCCUCAUGGCCCUUGGCCUCUUCUCUGUCAGUCCCCCAACAUGGAACUUCUGCCAAAAACUAACAUUUGCUUUAAUGUUUUAUCUUCAUCCUGUUUUUGUUUGCUCUGAUUUUCUUCAGGUGCAGGUGAUGUCAUGUCAAGGCAACGCUUCCAAUAUUUCCUAGAGUCUCUGCUACAGGAUCAGUGGCUGAUACCAACUAUCUCCUCCAUCCAGGACUGGUUCGAUGCCAUCGACGACUUGUGGUUUCAGGGAACUUUCAUAGACUUCACCCCUACGGAAGUAGCUGUCUAUAGCCACUGGGUUUUAUUUCUGGAUGCCAUGAUAUCCCCAGACCUGCCCCCAGAACAUUCCUCCACUUCCCAUUCUAGGCCCUACGCUGCCCCCGCACAGCCGGAAGCAGCCAGAUCUGACCAACGAUGCCCCAAUUCCUAAGAAAACAGAAAGGGAGGAAUGUUGGGAAAACACAUAAUGGCAGCAGCACCCCAGAGAAAAACCCCAACAUGACGCCUAAUGACCCUCUUUCUCCUCUUUUUCUUUCAUUGGCAUGAAACGUUCCCACCGGCGCCAAUGUUCAAAUCCUGCUUGUGGGAAGCCUUAGCCCCAAUAAGAAUUAACUUCUUGGGCUCCGGAACUGACAUAUGGAAGAGCUUGCCAAUAAACGGGCAACCCGUUAUCUACCUCAGCCCUGCUACCUCUCCUUAGACCUAUAUAAACACACAGCCUUUUGUAAUAAAGCGGAACCUCUUCGGU